Molecule: ribosomal RNA, 468 nt
Filed under: uncultured bacterium
Lineage: Bacteria
Description: partial 16S ribosomal RNA
Rfam family: Bacterial small subunit ribosomal RNA
Source: RNAcentral
GACGAACGCUGGCGGCGUGCUUAACACAUGCAAGUCGAACGGAAAGGCCCUGCUUUUGUGGGGUGCUCGAGUGGCGAACGGGUGAGUAACACGUGAGUAACCUGCCCUUGACUUUGGGAUAACUUCAGGAAACUGGGGCUAAUACCGGAUAGGAGCUCCUGCUGCAUGGUGGGGGUUGGAAAGUUUCGGCGGUGGGGGAUGGACUCGCGGCUUAUCAGCUUGUUGGUGGGGUAGUGGCUUACCAAGGCUUUGGCGGGUAGCCGGCCUGAGAGGGUGACAGGCCACAUUGGGACUGAGAUACGGCCCAGACUCCUACGGGAGGCAGCAGUGUGGAAUAUUGCACAAUGGGCGGAAGCCUGAUGCAGCAACGCCGCGUGCGGGAUGACGGCCUUCGGGUUGUAAACCGCUUUCGCCUGUGACGAAGCGGGAGUGACGGUAAUGGGUAAAGAAGCACCGGCUAACUACGUG